Molecule: long non-coding RNA, 568 nt
Filed under: Arabidopsis thaliana (thale cress)
Lineage: Eukaryota; Viridiplantae; Streptophyta; Magnoliopsida; Brassicales; Brassicaceae
Description: long non-coding RNA (ATHA_LNC000193)
Source: RNAcentral
AAAAUGAAGAAAAAACACUUAUAAUCCGAUAAUGUCAAGUAGAAAAACGAAAAAUCCCUAGAAAUAUAUCCAGGAAGAUGACAAACGUCACAAUUCAACCCGUGGACGAUGCUCAGUACUUGUAAUCCUUCACGUGAAGGCUCUCAGCUGCUCCAUCACCAAGCUUAGCGUCACCCUUGUAGGUUCCGAGUGUGGCUUCAGAGUUAGCCUUGCACCUCACAUACAACGCCUCUUGAGCUGCCUUGACAUUCUCCUCUUUACCUGCCCAUGUCUUCAAGGUAGACUGCUGCAACGCACGUCCGAAUGAGAAAGACAAUGACCAUGGCUUCUUGGUCUUCAACUGGUUCAUGGCGUUCAAGUUCCUGGUAGCUUCUUCCUCGCUCUGUCCUCCAGAUAAGAAGACAAUGGCUGGAACAGCUGCUGGGACGGUUCUCUGAAGGGCACGGACGGUGUGCUCAGCGAUGACUUCAGGUGAAACCUUGGGGCUGUCAGAUCCGGGAGUAACCAUGUUAGGCUUCAAGAGUGUACCCUCGAGCAAGACGUGGUGGUCGCUAAGAGCCUUGUAGCA